GGAAACCAAAAGUUCUGAAUCUGAUAGGCAUAUUGAAAGAAAAGGAUACGAACAAGAAAAAUUUUGAGACUUCAAACAUUGAAACAAUCAUAUAUAUUCAUUAGCAUUAAUUUUAUUAACUUGUAAAAUGGGAACUUCUUGGAAGAAAUGUUGUUUCCAGACACCAUGACAAAUUCAAAGGCUUGGAAGAGGGGAAAAAGAAGAAGA
Molecule: unclassified non-coding RNA, 207 nt
Filed under: Hevea brasiliensis (rubber tree)
Lineage: Eukaryota; Viridiplantae; Streptophyta; Magnoliopsida; Malpighiales; Euphorbiaceae
Source: RNAcentral